Molecule: small nucleolar RNA, 107 nt
Rfam family: Plant small nucleolar RNA R71
About the family: R71 is a member of the C/D box family of snoRNAs containing the C (UGAUGA) and D (CUGA) box motifs. Multiple nearly identical copies of this snoRNA have been identified in Arabidopsis, and it is thought to function as a 2'-O-ribose methylation guide for 18S ribosomal RNA.
Source: Rfam
AUAUUGUGAUGAAGACAUUUCCUAAGUAACUUUUUGAAUCUUUGUCACACAUCAUACAAGCUUUCAUCUUCAAGUCAAUGGAAUAAUGUGAUCUCAUUUAUCAAUUU